UCCAGAUGACAAUCUCAGAGGUGGAGCUGAGGAGAGAAACCUAUACUACCCCAACCAAAAAGACCUCAACGACUUGAUCAGAGAUCUUGGUCUCACCAAGUCCAAUGCCGAGCUUUUGACGUCUAGGCUCAACCAGUGGAACUUGUUGGAUAAAAGUGUGCAAGUUGCAGAUCAAAGGAAGCGUCACCAACCUUUUUGCAGCUUCUUCCCCCGUCAAGAUGGGCUCUGCUUCUGCCACAAAGUAACCAGAAUGAGUGGCGCCUCUGCAUUGACAGUUCAUCCAGGAGCUUCAAAGCCGUGCUGCUGCAUAAUGGUAACAUGUACCCGUCGCUUCCCCUGGCUCACUCGGUGCACCUCAAAGAGGAUUACAACAGCAUCAAGACCUGGCUGGACGCCUUGAAGUAUGAUGAGUACGGCUGGGGAGGUCAUCGGAGACUUCAAAAUGGUUGCAUUCCUGAUGGGUCUCCAAGGCGGUUUUACCAAGUUUACCUGCUAUCUUUGCCUUUGGGAUAGCAGGGACACCAAGGCGCACUACCACGGGCGGGACUGGCCACAGUGGACCGAGUUCUCUGUGGGGAGGAACAACGUCAAAUGGGAGCCACUGGUGGACCCCCGGAAGGUGCUGAUGCCACCACUGAACAUCAAAUUGGGUCUUAUGAAACAAUUUGUCAGAGCUGUAGAUAAGGAGUCGGCAGCCUUCAAGUACCUUCAAGACUUCUUCCCUAAGCUGUCUGAGUUAAAGGUCAAAGCCGGUGUCUUCAUCAGACCACAGAUAAAGAAGAUCCUGGAGUGCAAUUAAUUCCCCAAGAAGUUCACUAGUAAGGAGAAAGCGGCUUGGGACAGCUUUGUCGCAGUGGUUAGUGGCUUCUUGGGCAAUCACAAGGUCGAAAACUAUGUGGAGCUGGAAUGAGACUUUGGUGAAGAACUACGGCACAAUGAGAUGUAGGAUGUCCCUCAAAGUCCAUAUCCUUGAUGCUCAUCUUGAUAAAUUCAAGAAGUACCUGGGAGUGUACUGGGAGGAGCAAGGUCGUGGAGGAGCACUUUCUAUGGCAGCUCCUCUCAAACAUCGAAAAGGGCACCCCCAGUGGCAGCUGUCCCUGUACACACAAAGCGACUCAGCACUUGGCCUAUAGACAGCCAUCAGCCUGCCGGUCGGUAAGGCAAGUGAUUGCUACAUGUACAGUCCCCCAUAGAUUGUUUUGCGGGUCAUUUUAAAUUUGGCCUUCUCUUGCGAAUGUCACGGGAUCUUUAACGUGCAAUGCGAAGCAGACCACGCGUGUUUUGAGCGGUUAAUGACGCAGGAAUAACUAGGGCCGCCACUGGAUUCAAACCGUGCAGCUCUGCAAAAGGCAGCGUAGCCACUCCCGCUGGGAUGCCGUCGCUUGCAAGGGCGCAAGCGGUGGGGCAGUGGCUCGCGCUGCACUACGAACCGAGUGACUCACAUUCCAUAUCCAGCCAGGUCCAACAUCAGUGCCAUCUUGAACACCCUCUACCCUUCACCAUCCAGCACGGACCGGCGAAGUGAUGUAUGGUCAAUCAAUUCUCAUGACUAACGGCGGCAUGGGUAGACCUAGAGUAGUUUUGAUAAUCAUGUUCCAUAGCAAACCUGACUUGGUACAAUACUUAUACACUGACAGUGGCUGAAUUAAGAACAGCUAUACAUGUGGUGAAAUACAGAAAUAAAAUAACACGGCGAUGGGUGGA
This is a long non-coding RNA of Lethenteron reissneri (Far Eastern brook lamprey), 1704 nucleotides long. RefSeq lists it as uncharacterized. The record is from RefSeq and is a predicted model, not a curated record. NCBI's taxonomy places the organism in Eukaryota, Metazoa, Chordata, Hyperoartia, Petromyzontiformes, Petromyzontidae.